Molecule: small nucleolar RNA, 130 nt
Filed under: Salmo salar (Atlantic salmon)
Lineage: Eukaryota; Metazoa; Chordata; Actinopteri; Salmoniformes; Salmonidae
Description: Small nucleolar RNA SNORA71 (ENSSSAG00000116860.1)
Rfam family: Small nucleolar RNA SNORA71
About the family: The members of this family belong to the H/ACA class of snoRNAs which bind a number of proteins (including dyskerin, Gar1p and Nop10p) to form snoRNP complexes. This class of snoRNAs are thought to guide the sites of modification of uridines to pseudouridines by forming direct base pairing interactions with substrate RNAs.
Source: RNAcentral
ACCUGUAUCGAAAGUGGCUGUGGCAUGGUUGUUGCCAGGUCAUUGAUAAUGCAGGGAAGAUGGAACUGACAGAUUUUCCCUGUGUUUGUUGGGCCGUUCUAUCCCUCUCAAACCCUGUAUCUUUCAGACA